This is a non-coding RNA of Jatropha curcas, 270 nucleotides long. The record is from RefSeq and is a predicted model, not a curated record. Lineage: Eukaryota; Viridiplantae; Streptophyta; Magnoliopsida; Malpighiales; Euphorbiaceae.
AAAAAAAACAGAAAGGAAAUUUUCUAGUAUAAAAUUGAGGUUGUUAGUUGAAUAUGACUAAGGGGUGCCAUUUGUAAUCGAUUGCUCCGAGUAAUAAAUUAUCCACAGAUAUCCCUUGUUGAAGCUCUUGAAUAUGUUCCUACAAAACCAAGGUUUCCUAGCCAGCAUCACUGCUGAAAAUGAGAUUCUGGUGUGGGAUUUAGAGCAAAGGCUACUGGUUUCUACUUUGCGAUGGGAGUCAAAUAUAACAGCAUUCUCUGUUAUUUGUGG